CCCAUGAGGGCCCUCACGAAUAUAUCUUUCGUCUUUUACUAAAGAUAUCCGUGGGGAGGAACAAUUAAUGAAUAUAUGCCAUCAUUAUUUUUUUUAGUUUAGAGAUGGGAUAAAGU
This is a small nuclear RNA of Mytilus trossulus (common blue mussel), 116 nucleotides long. RefSeq annotates it as U5 spliceosomal RNA. NCBI's taxonomy places the organism in Eukaryota, Metazoa, Mollusca, Bivalvia, Mytilida, Mytilidae. The transcript has a single exon. The record is from RefSeq and is a predicted model, not a curated record.